CUCUGUGGCAGUGCUUUGUAAUUUCUUUUCUUUGGUUUGUCCUCUUAGGGUUUUGCACCAGCAGCCUUCAGCGCUAACGAGUCAUGGUAUCGGCAUGUUCUUCUGGCCCGGCUAUAUGAUGUAAGUGAAGACAGUUUGGAAAAUGAGCUAAGGCUUUAAUUAGUGGGGCCACAGAGAAAGAAAUGAAGAAUGACUGUGGAGAGCAAAUACGGGGAACAGCUGCCUGGCCAGCGGUGCUGCCCAAACAAAGGUCUCCCCCUGCUCAGACUGGCCUCGGGGGGAAGCUGCUGCUGCUGCAUUUGGAGGGCCUGAAAUAGGGAUUUUCCCUGUACAGCUGUGGAGGUCAGACAAUUGGGGGCUGUAUUUUAUAUAUAUUUAUUUAUAAAUAAAUACAUAUAUUAAGUAUGGGAGUUUAUUUUUCUCCUACAACCUACUCACCUUGGAAAGCAGCAGAGCAGGCCGAAUCACUUCCUCGGACACUAUCCUUUUGCGUAUUUUUACCUUAUUUUUAAGAAUCCAAAGCAGGGUAAGCACAGGCUCUGAGCUUUUUUUGCCAAGAUCUGACCACACUGAUUUCAACAGACAAAACUUUGGUUUCAGAAUGCUAAAAUGAACAUACUGGCAUUUUCAAGCUAAAAGUUAGUAUGUUGAGUAAUUGUUAUGCUGAGACUGAUGGAGCACUUGCGUCAACUGAUCAAACUUUGCUCUGUUAGACUUUACUGAUCUUGCUUUUCUCUUUGCUCAAAUUAACAGUCACAUUUGUAAUUGAACUCAGUGGCAGCCAAGGUUAUAACGGUAUAAACACGCAAAAACCUGCCUCGCCAAAGUCUUCAGUCUCACUAAGAAUGAAGCUCACAGAAGCACAUUCAGGUCAGAAUUGAUGCUACCUAAACCAGGAAAAGAUUCACUUGCAGAGGCUCGUUUUGGAUCUUUCUAUAUCCAUAAAGGGAAAAUAAUUAUCUUUGUAUGUGUAUAAAUUUAUCUUUUCUUAUUCUACCCAUUCUGUGGACAAACUGUUAAAUGCCUUGAUAAAAGCUUUCUAAAACACUUUAAUAAUUCCCCAAACACUCAACACAACCCACACUGGCUUUUUCUUUUUUUUUUAAAUCUGAAGGUUUAUUAAGAAGAUCACAGAUUUUCCUGUUCACUGUGAAAUCCAGGUGGGAAAAAAAAUCAAGUAAUUCUUGGUAUUUAAUAUGAUAAUUCUAACUGAGACUUACAAGGUAAAAGAACUUAAUGUCAUUACCUAUGCAAGAUAUGAAAAUGCAUGCCUCCAGAAAUAAUGACCUUAUUACAGCAUUGAUCUUGCGUGGGCAGAAGCCUGCUUUAGAAGAAGCCUGUGGGAAAUGUUCAUGUAUUUCACCUGCCUAUUGUACGUUAUAGGUGAGCCCAGAGGUGCAAUAAGAUACACAUUUGGUAAGUGUCUUGCAUGUAAGAAAUCAGAGAUUUAAUGCAUUAAUCACUAGAGUGCAAUUAUAGACCUUAAUUGAGAAGGUAUUAGCCGUUUGCCAUAGAUAACCUUCAGUGGCUAUUAGAAUUUCAUAGUCUGAGUUCAUUACAACUGGCAAAUGCCAUUUUGCACAACCAGCACACACAAGGGCCUGUUACUUGGCUGGAAGUACAUUUUUUGCAGUAUUAAAUCCACUCCAUUAAAUACAAGAGAGAGCACCUGUUCAGGUCUUAUUUCAAUAAAGAUUACAUCCUAGUUGCAUUUUAAGGGAGUUUAUAAAGAGAGCACACUAUUAAUGUAUUUUAUUAGCAUGUUUAAAAUGGGACACACUGGAAAUAUUACAAACCCAUCAGUAGAAGACAUCGUGGCUGGUGAUAAGGUGCUACGUGCGCAGCUUGCUAUGGGUAUGUGACUUGC
Falco peregrinus (peregrine falcon) is the source of this 1867-nucleotide long non-coding RNA. RefSeq lists it as uncharacterized. NCBI's taxonomy places the organism in Eukaryota, Metazoa, Chordata, Aves, Falconiformes, Falconidae. The transcript has 3 exons. The record is from RefSeq and is a predicted model, not a curated record.